Ostrea edulis (European flat oyster) is the source of this 382-nucleotide long non-coding RNA. RefSeq lists it as uncharacterized. Lineage: Eukaryota; Metazoa; Mollusca; Bivalvia; Ostreida; Ostreidae. The transcript has 3 exons. The record is from RefSeq and is a predicted model, not a curated record.
UCUGGUUGGUUAUUUACAUGCUGUGUUGAGGAUUGCCGUCUCUGUUUGCGGAAAACUAGAAUAACGUUCACCAAUACGGAGAUGACCAGGAGUGUUGGGACAUCAACUCAGAUCUUAGUCUACGGUACUCACUAUAACAAGAAGGGAAAACAUCCGACCAGACCGAAAUUCGGACCCUGGUCUCCUGAAUCUCUAGUCAUUUACUCUACCAACUGAACUAUCUUGGCACCAGCGAUCGAACACAGCUGAUUGCUACAGUGCGGCAGACAUCCUUUGAAGCAGACGCCAGUUGUCUUAUUACAGUCGUGUUUGUCGAUGCAGUGACCACAUUUAUGUGUAUAUUUUACGCCAUAGUAUCCCUUUUGGCAGUCUAUAAUAAGAU